UACGUAGGUGGCAAGCGUUAUCCGGAUUUACUGGGUGUAAAGGGCGUGUAGGCGGGAAAGCAAGUCAGAUGUGAAAACCAUGGGCUCAACCUGUGGCCUGCAUUUGAAACUGUUUUUCUUGAGUACUGGAGAGGCAGACGGAAUUCCUAGUGUAGCGGUGAAAUGCAUAGAUAUCACGCAGAACCCCGAUUGCGAAGGCAGCAUACCGGUGCACAACUGACGCUCAGGCACGAAAGCGUGGGUAUCGAACAGG
Molecule: ribosomal RNA, 253 nt
Filed under: uncultured Oscillospira sp.
Lineage: Bacteria; Bacillati; Bacillota; Clostridia; Eubacteriales; Oscillospiraceae
Description: partial 16S ribosomal RNA
Rfam family: Bacterial small subunit ribosomal RNA
Source: RNAcentral